RNAcentral lists this transfer RNA (53 nucleotides) under Elliptochloris marina. Its description in RNAcentral is "tRNA-Val". The record is from RNAcentral. Lineage: Eukaryota; Viridiplantae; Chlorophyta; Trebouxiophyceae.
AGGCUCAUAACUCAGUUGGUAGAGUUCCUGUCUUACAACAGGCUGUCAUCGGU